Molecule: ribosomal RNA, 682 nt
Filed under: Burkholderia pseudomallei
Lineage: Bacteria; Pseudomonadati; Pseudomonadota; Betaproteobacteria; Burkholderiales; Burkholderiaceae
Description: bacterial SSU rRNA
Rfam family: Bacterial small subunit ribosomal RNA
Source: RNAcentral
GUUUGAUCCUGGCUCAGGACGAACGCUGGCGGCGUGCUUAACACAUGCAAGUCGAACGAUGAAGCCGCUUCGGUGGUGGAUUAGUGGCGAACGGGUGAGUAACACGUGGGCAAUCUGCCCUGCACUCUGGGACAAGCCCUGGAAACGGGGUCUAAUACCGGAUAUGACUACUGAUCGCAUGGUUGGUGGUGGAAAGCUCCGGCGGUGCAGGAUGAGCCCGCGGCCUAUCAGCUUGUUGGUGGGGUGAUGGCCUACCAAGGCGACGACGGGUAGCCGGCCUGAGAGGGCGACCGGCCACACUGGGACUGAGACACGGCCCAGACUCCUACGGGAGGCAGCAGUGGGGAAUAUUGCACAAUGGGCGAAAGCCUGAUGCAGCGACGCCGCGUGAGGGAUGACGGCCUUCGGGUUGUAAACCUCUUUCAGCAGGGAAGAAGCGAGAGUGACGGUACCUGCAGAAGAAGCGCCGGCUAACUACGUGCCAGCAGCCGCGGUAAUACGUAGGGCGCGAGCGUUGUCCGGAAUUAUUGGGCGUAAAGAGCUCGUAGGCGGCUUGUCACGUCGGAUGUGAAAGCCCGGGGCUUAACCCCGGGUCUGCAUUCGAUACGGGCAGGCUAGAGUUCGGUAGGGGAGAUCGGAAUUCCUGGUGUAGCGGUGAAAUGCGCAGAUAUCAGGAGGAACA